This 371-nucleotide ribosomal RNA is filed under the name uncultured Methanolinea sp. RNAcentral describes it as "bacterial SSU rRNA". It matches the Rfam family "Archaeal small subunit ribosomal RNA", at positions 967 to 1338 of the family's 1478-position model. Lineage: Archaea; Methanobacteriati; Methanobacteriota; Methanomicrobia; Methanomicrobiales; Methanoregulaceae. The record is from RNAcentral.
UCUGCUUGACUAGCUGAGAGGAGGUGCAUGGCCGUCGUCAGUUCGUACUGUGAAGCAUCCUGUUAAGUCAGGCAACGAGCGAGACCCACGCCAACAGUUGCCAGCAUGUCCUCCGGGAUGAUGGGGACACUGUUGGGACCGCCUCUGCUAAAGAGGAGGAAGGAAUGGGCAACGGUAGGUCAGCAUGCCCCGAAUUAUCCGGGCUACACGCGGGCUACAAUGGUCAGGACAAUGGGUAUCGACACCGAGAGGUGGAGGCAAUCUCCUAAACCUGUCCUUAGUUCGGAUUGUGGGCUGCAACUCGCCCACAUGAAGCUGGAAUCCGUAGUAAUCGCGUUUCAAAUAGCGCGGUGAAUAUGUCCCUGCUCCUU